GCCUUCGUGGUGUACUGGUCAGCACGCUCGACGCGUAACCGAGAGGUCCGUGGUUCGAUUCCCGGAGAAGGCG
Molecule: transfer RNA, 73 nt
Filed under: Stegodyphus mimosarum
Lineage: Eukaryota; Metazoa; Arthropoda; Arachnida; Araneae; Eresidae
Rfam family: tRNA
About the family: Transfer RNA (tRNA) molecules are approximately 80 nucleotides in length. Their secondary structure includes four short double-helical elements and three loops (D, anti-codon, and T loops).
Source: Rfam by way of RNAcentral